RNAcentral lists this ribosomal RNA (405 nucleotides) under uncultured bacterium. Its description in RNAcentral is "partial 16S ribosomal RNA". It matches the Rfam family "Bacterial small subunit ribosomal RNA", at positions 28 to 526 of the family's 1533-position model. The record is from RNAcentral.
GAUGAACGCUGGCGGCGUGCCUAAUACAUGCAAGUCGAGCGAAGCGGGGACGGGUGAGUAACACGUGGAGAACAUCCUAUAAGACUGGGAUAAAUUCGGGAAACCGGAGCUAAACCGGACACUUAUAGAUGGAUCCGCGCUGCAUUAGCUAGUUGGUAAGGUAACGGCUUAACAAGGCCACGAUGCAUAGCCGACCUGAGAGGGUGAUCGGCCACACUGGAACUGAGAACCGGUCCCGACUCCGUCGGGAGGCAGCAGUAGGGAAUCUUCGGCAAUGGGGGGAACCCUGACCGAUCAACGCCGCGGGAGUGAAGAAGGUUUUCGGAUCGUAAAGCUCUGUUGUUAAGGAAGCGGUACUUAACCAGAAAGGGACGGCUAACUACGUGCCAGCCGCCGCGGUAAUUC